CCUUACCCACCUUUGACAUGGCAGGAAGGCUUCAGAGAUGAGGCUGUGCUCGAAAGAGAACCUGCACACAGGUGCUGCAUGGCUGUCGUCAGCUCGUGUCGUGAGAUGUUGGGUUAAGUCCCGCAACGAGCGCAACCCUUGCCAUUAGUUGCUACGAAAGGGCACUCUAAUGGGACUGCCGGUGACAAGCCGGAGGAAGGUGGGGAUGACGUCAAGUCCUCAUGGCCCUUAUAGGUGGGGCUACACACGUCAUACAAUGGCCGGUACAAAGGGCAGCCAACCCGCGAGGGGGAGCCAAUCCCAUAAAGCCGGUCGUAGUCCGGAUCGCAGUCUGCAACUCGACUGCGUGAAGUCGGAAUCGCUAGUAAUCGUGGAUCAGCAUGUCACGGUGAAUACGUUCCCGGGUCUUGUACACACCGCCCGUCACACCAUGGGAGCGGGUCUCGCCAGAAGUAGUUAGCCUAACCGCAAGGAGGGCGAUUACCACGGCGGGGUUCGUGACUGGGGUGAAGUCGUAACAAGGUAGCCGUAUCGGAAGAUGCGGCUGGAUCAC
Molecule: ribosomal RNA, 553 nt
Filed under: uncultured bacterium
Lineage: Bacteria
Description: bacterial SSU rRNA
Rfam family: Bacterial small subunit ribosomal RNA
Source: RNAcentral